AGCGGCGGACGGGUGAGUAACACGUGGGUAACCUACCUAUAAGACUGGGACAACUUCGGGAAACCGGGAGCUAAUACCGGAUAAUAUGUUGAACCGCAUGGUUCAAUAGUGAAAGAUGGUUUUGCUAUCACUUAUAGAUGGACCCGCGCCGUAUUAGCUAGUUGGUGAGGUAACGGCUCACCAAGGCAACGAUACGUAGCCGACCUGAGAGGGUGAUCGGCCACACUGGAACUGAGACACGGUCCAGACUCCUACGGGAGGCAGCAGUAGGGAAUCUUCCGCAAUGGGCGAAAGCCUGACGGAGCAACGCCGCGUGAGUGAUGAAGGUCUUAGGAUCGUAAAACUCUGUUAUUAGGGAAGAACAAACGUGUAAGUAACUGUGCACGUCUUGACGGUACCUAAUCAGAAAGCCACGGCUAACUACGUGCCAGCAGCCGCGGUAAUGCGUAGGUGGCAAGCGUUAUCCGGAAUUAUUGGGCGUAAAGCGCGCGUAGGCGGUUUUUUAAGUCUGAUGUGAAAGCCCACGGCUCAACCGUGGAGGGUCAUUGGAAACUGGAAAACUUGAGUGCAGAAGAGGAAAGUGGAAUUCCAUGUGUAGCGGUGAAAUGCGCAGAGAUAUGGAGGAACACCAGUGGCGAAGGCGACUUUCUGGUCUGUAACUGACGCUGAUGUGCGAAAGCGUGGGGAUCAAACAGGAUUAGAUACCCUGGUAGUCCACGCCGUAAACGAUGAGUGCUAAGUGUUAGGGGGUUUCCGCCCCUUAGUGCUGCAGCUAACGCAUUAAGCACUCCGCCU
This 795-nucleotide ribosomal RNA is filed under the name uncultured Staphylococcus sp. RNAcentral's name for it is "bacterial SSU rRNA". It matches the Rfam family "Bacterial small subunit ribosomal RNA", at positions 94 to 874 of the family's 1533-position model. The record is from RNAcentral. Lineage: Bacteria; Bacillati; Bacillota; Bacilli; Caryophanales; Staphylococcaceae.